This is a non-coding RNA of Benincasa hispida (wax gourd), 820 nucleotides long. NCBI's taxonomy places the organism in Eukaryota, Viridiplantae, Streptophyta, Magnoliopsida, Cucurbitales, Cucurbitaceae. The record is from RefSeq and is a predicted model, not a curated record.
UAUAAAAAAAAACAAAUGUUUCCCUUCUCCUUUUUCAUCACGCCGCGGCGCCCCCCUCCCUCGAAAUUUUCCGUCCCGCCGCCUUCAGCCCAUCGCUCAGCCGCUCGUUCAGACUGCCGCCGCCCAAAUCCAGUAGCCAAUCUCCAUCGCUACUCGCCGCCGAUCUCGACCAUCCGGUCAGCCGCCUCAAUCUCCUCCGCCGCUUGUCCAGACCGUCGUCGGUCGAGCUUGCCGCUCCGUCCAGCCUCGCGCCGCUCUGACCACACGCUCGUCGUCGUUGCCUCAUUCGCACCGUCGCGUCUACGACGCUUUUCUCCGGACGAAGCCGCCGCUCUUCCAGAUUCCACCACCACUUCUCCGUCCAGCCAGCCGUCGGUCCGAUCUCUGUUGCACGCCGCCCAGCACCUGCUGCCGCCGUGGUUGCCGUCGGAUCUGCUUUGGUCUUACGUCGAGUUUUUUUUGGAGGGAUUUGCACUGUUGUCCGUUCGGCUCGAGGCAAGAUUGGACUAGAAAUUUUUAUGAGGUUUGUGGUUCUCGUUGUUGGUUUUUGGGCACCCACUCAUUAUUGUAGUAAAUAUUGGCUCAACUCACGUAUUUUGAAGGGUCCAAGUCCCGUCCGUUGGAAUUAAAAUAUGAUUAAGGGGAGAUUUUGAAGUUGAAAUCUUGAAAAUGUUUGUUGAUCAAACUUCGUUUGGGUAAGUUAAUUGGUGAUCGAUGGAAUAAAUCUUGUAUGCUUUCGUUUUGGCUCCCAGGAUUAAAAAUUGAGUGUUUGUGUUUUGUGCUAAGGGAAUUAAUUCAGGAUUUAUUUUGAUAGAGACUA